Molecule: ribosomal RNA, 502 nt
Filed under: uncultured bacterium
Lineage: Bacteria
Description: bacterial SSU rRNA
Rfam family: Bacterial small subunit ribosomal RNA
Source: RNAcentral
GUGGGAUGAAGCUCUCGGAGUGUAAACCACUGUCGGAAGGGACGAACGAUCAUGGCUCAAAUAGCGCCAUGGUUUGACGGUACCUUCAGAGGAAGCUCCGGCUAACUCCGUGCCAGCAGCCGCGGUAAUACGGGGGGAGCGAGCGUUGUUCGGAAUCACUGGGCGUAAAGGGUGCGCAGGCGGGAGACUAAGUCGGAUGUGAAAACCUCGGGCUCAACCCGAGGCCGGCAUUCGAAACUGAUCUUCUUGAGUAUCGGAGAGGAAAGCGGAGCUCCAGGUGUAGCGGUGAAAUGCGUAGAUAUCUGGAGGAACACCUGUGGCGAAGGCGGCUUUCUGGCCGAAUACUGACGCUCAUGCACGAAGGCUAGGGGAGCAAACAGGAUUAGAUACCCUGGUAGUCCUAGCGGUAAACGAUGGGCACUAGGUGUCGGGGGUAUCGACCCCCUCGGUGCCGCAGCUAACGCAUUAAGUGCCCCGCCUGGGGAAUACGAUCGCAAGAUUG